Long non-coding RNA from Papaver somniferum (opium poppy), 3332 nucleotides. RefSeq lists it as uncharacterized. The record is from RefSeq and is a predicted model, not a curated record. Lineage: Eukaryota; Viridiplantae; Streptophyta; Magnoliopsida; Ranunculales; Papaveraceae. The transcript has 9 exons.
CGUUUUUUUCCUUCUCAUUUUCAUUUUCUCCGCCACAGACUCAUCUCUCUUUCAUCUCCUCACCUUGUCUGAAGAACUGCGUGAUUAUAGAACUUCAUCUCUAUUUCAGCUCUAAAACCACUGAAAUCGACAGCCAGGGGUUUGUCAAGGUUGAAGAACUGAAGUACUCUGAAGAUCAUUUAAGGUCAACAUGGCCCAUCGACUGAGAAGUGGUUUUUGUGUGCUUAUAUAGUAAAGAAGCCCUUUUAUGUAUGGUGAGGCAGGAGGUCGUGUCAUUAAUUUGCCAGAGAAUCAGAAGAUGUUUAUUGUAAAACAUUGGCACAACAGUUACAAAUUAGCUUUUUAGGACAGAAUUUAUUCGAUGUUGAACUAUAUUUCUUAAGUUGAAUCAAGUUUAUCUUAUCUUGUUGUUCAGUGAUCUCUUUUGGGUAUCAUUCAAUGGUUCAAGCAAUGUCAGAAAGCAUAGGUGAAGAUUCAGGUAAUACCAAAGAUUAUGGAGCCUCUCAGAAUAUCAUGCCGAGCUUGAAUAUCUUGAACAACCUGGCAUGUUCUCCUACAAAUACAUCCCAAGGUUAGAAAUAAACUGACCUUGCUCGGCAACAUAUAUGCUAGCUGCUGACGACACAAACUUGUAUUAAAGAACACACCAGAGACCAACCAUAGCUGACAUAUUAAUGAGCAUCUGGGAUAAUUCUAUAAAUGGACACUAAUGCGACAUCGUUAUAUUGAAGUACACCAAAGAAAAACACCUUCUUCAGUUGUAUCAUAGUGUCCAUUUGUAUUUUCCCUGUGUAUUUCUAUGUGAUUUACUUGAUGCGCACAGUACUGAGACACUAAGGUGACAUCGUUAUAUUGAGACACACCAAAGAAAAGUAUUAUGUCCAGAUCUUUUUUUUCUUCUGUAUGUCCUAGUUCCUAUUUCAAUGUUUGGUGGCUUGACUAGUACGUACUAGAUAAUUUGGAGCACAGCAUUGCCUUAUUUCUAGGGUUAGCCUGACUAGUAGAUUUAUAACGUCCAUUUGUUUGAUGUCAGAAAUUAGACCAGUCUUGUAUGGUGAACAUUGAGUCAAUGCCCAAUAUUUACUUCAUCAUUUACUUAUUGUUUUAUUUCUGAUGGCGUUUUUGUAUUUUGGGAGUCCAGAGAAUUAGAAUUUGCUAGGACAAGAGAUGCAUUACAGGUGGAAGUGCUCGAGAAAAUGAAUUUAACAGUCAGUUUAUGAUGAUUACUGGAUCACUAACUAGAACCCCAGAUAGUAAAAAAUUUGGAUAAAGUUUUAGAAGCAGCAACAGGUGGCUGGGAAUGGUUGAUAACUGACUCAUUUUAGAAAUCUUUAGAUAGUCUUCUUCAGACAUCGAUCCCAUAGAGCGAGGCUUUUGGCUGUAUUCUGUUGAACUAUUCACAGUGAAUUAUUUGUCUAACCAUCUCUAAGUAUGUGUGACUCAAUUGGAGUGUCUUGAUCUCGCCUAUAUUGAUUUUCAAGCAUCAGAAAUCCCACUUCAAUUUCUCAUACUCCUAUCAGAAAUGGCAAUGGGAAUCUUAUUAAUAAAAUACUUAUAUGGGAUUUUAUUAUAUGGUAUUGCAAGUGCUUCUUCAUUUUCAUUUGAUUUUUGUUUAGUUUUGAUAUAUAUAUAUAUAUAUAUAUAUAUAUAUAUAUAUGGGUUUAGAUCGGAAGCAUCCAGCUUGUGACUUUAUCGUACUUUGGGCGAAGGGAAUUCUCAUUCAUUUUGGGAAAUGACGUAUAUUUGCGUUAUCAAUCGUUCAACAAAAGGGAGUGCCCGUUUAAAAUUGAUAUCAGUGCUGUAUACAAUGUAGAUCCUGCUAAGCGUAAUGCGUAUUCUGGUGAGAAUGCAUUCACUCCGGUGGAGAAGGAGUUAGUUCUCAAUAUUGAUAUGUCAGAUUAUGACGAUGUUUGGUAUUGCUGCUCGGGUGCUAAUAUUUGCAAAAAGUGCUGGCCACUAAUGACAAUUGCUGUUAAAGUGAUUGAUUCUGCACUCAGAGGCAGGAGUCUACGAACUACGAAGAGCAGCCCCAUGGUCAGUAUUGUUGAGUGAACAGGAAAACUUGAACUCUCUGGGUUUGAAGUCCCUUCAUUGCGGGAUCCUAUUUCUUGAGUAUCCUAAUUCAGAUAAUGAUUUAAUUGGAUGGGAGCACAACCAUCCAGUCUAAUCAUGUUCUAGGCAGUUGUACAUUUAUCAUCUGAGUGGAACUUUCCAACCGAUAAGCAUUUAGCUAAUUGAAAAUUUCUUCAUGUGCUGCCCCAGUUAUAGGAGAUGCACAGCAAUUUCUUUAGCACAUGGUGGUACAAGUAGGAUAAAACAAAUACUUGUUACUUCGAUCCUUUGCGAAGUUCGCAAUCAGUGUUAGCUAUUCUAUAUAAUUGCACUAUAUCUUGUCGAUAGAAGUUAUCAUACAACCAGUUCUGAAGUUACUGCUGUCUGUCCCCUUACAUAAUUUUGAAAUUGUGGUAUCGCUACUGAUGCAUGUGUGUUCUCUAAACCCUGUAAGCAUCAUACUAUAUGCAAGUAUCAGUCUACUAAAGUGUAGGUUUUUUAAAGCUGUAAUGCCUGGUCAGGUGUCUGUGUAUAACGCAGAAUCCCUUGAUCAUAAAGCAGGUAUUAGUCUUUUGGUGACAGGUGGAGAAAAAUUUCUUAAAUGGCAAGUUGAAGGCCAUCACAGCUUACUUCAACCACCCCUCAGUGUAAAGGAUUUUAUAACAGUCCACUUCUGCGAAUUUUGGAUCAAAGCGUGGGUUCUUCUAAAGCUGAACUAAUCCAUGGGUUCUGAUUGUACGCCACCAAGACUCCAGAAUAUAUACGAAAACCUGGAAAACUUGGACUCUACUAAGAUCAGGGAUUUUUCGUGUCAAAAAAAAAAAAAAGAUUAGGAAUUUCAUGGGAGCAUUCUGGGAUAAGCUGUCCAUGGAUGAGGCUAAGGAUGUCAUUGUUAUAUCAUUUGAUACUGUGAUGUUGGAGGUAUUUGGGUUUAAGUCAAAAAGCAGUACUCUGGUGAUAUUGUCGCAGCAGCUGAAUCUACCUAUCAUUUGCAGAGGAAAUUGGUUAGGCAAGCAGAGUCUCGUGAUACUUCUGGUGGAGUUCAUUCUUCUGACUCAUUUGUUAGUCCAUCUUUCUUUCCCUGUUUUUCAAUGCCUCAUUCAGUUGACACAAACUAGGUCACCCAUCCAUUUAUGAACGUCAACAUAGAACAUUGUAUGUCAGUCACAAAAAUUUGGGUCUUGAUGAUCAUCUCAGAAAGUUUGCUGUGAUAGUUGUAUACAUUUGUAUCUCCUAUUCAUACUUUAAGUUCACUUCAAUUGAAGAAUCCUUUUUUUUAA